UAUAAAUCCCUUUUUUUGGUUUGAUUUCAUCUUUGUGAAUGAAAAUGUGUGUCCACACAGAGCUCAGAUCGUAAUGAACAAACCUUCAUACGAUCGGAAUAGUACAAUGGAAUAACCAGCCAGAAGUCCCAGCCUUAAUUCACUAGAGAACAUUUGGGACGAGCACAAAAGGCGUAUUCGCACCUAAACAGCUAACACCUAGCAGCAUCGCUAAGCUAGAAGUUGCCGUAGCAAAAAAAAUGGAACAACAACGCCUCCAACAUCUUGUUAAAGGAAUUGGAAGAGGCAAAGAGGAGGCAACACAAGAUAAUGACAAAACUGGCCUUCAAUUAUCAUUGUACUAAGAUAGAGCAUCUACAAACUGCAACUACUCGGUUGGUGGCUGCACUGGUUCUCAUAACAGUUAUAAAUUUGUACAUCUUCAUCAACUACCCAACUCAGAAGAGGCCACUUUCCAACAUCAACAGACCUCUUUGGAGCCAGGAUAUCAACUUUGAAACAGCUAACAUAAAAAACGACACUGGUACUCCUGAUGGCUGCUACCUCGUCCCUAAUCACAUUCACUUCAUUCGGUUCGGAAAUCCGAGGUUCACUUAUCCCGAAAUGAUAUGCGUGUUGGCCGCUUUAAAGAACCAAAAGCCAGACAAAAUAACCUUUCAUCACAAUUUCAAUGGAUCAUUUACAGGGCCCUAUUGGAGAGUUCUCAGUAAACUCAAGGCAUUCACAGAUAUCGUAGAAUUCAACUAUGAAGAAGAGCCGAAAGAGAUAUUCGGGCAACCGAUAGAUCCUGCCUUGAGAAAGUUCCACGGUUCAGAUAUAACGAGAAUAAGAAUAUUAAUGAAGUAUGGUGGGAUAUUUCUUGACAACGACUGUUACGUGAUAAAAAACCUAAACAGUUUCCGGAAGUAUGAAAUGACUCUGAACUGGGAUCAAGACCAAUACCUAGGCACACAAGUACUUCUGGCCCACAAAGACGCGAGAUUCCUGAAAAUGUGGCUGGACUCCUACAGGGGAGCGUACAGAGGAGACCUAUGGUACUACAAUGCAGGGGAACGACCCACUACGGAGAUUCUCUGGCGGAGACCAGAACUCAUCCACAGGGUGAAGGUUCAGUUCGGUGUAGACACACACUGGAUAGAGCAAGUGUUCCAGGAGUCAUGGACCGGAUGGAGACGUCUCCAUGCUCUCCAUCUGCUGAUACACCACCAGUACUUAUUGGCAAAUUUGACAGCGAAGGCAACAUUCCCAGUACAAUUCAAUCAACACAAUAUUGCUUAUUACCCCAUCACGUUCAGGGAAAUGGCUUAUGACGUUUAUGAAACAGGUAACAUACCGUGGCCAAAAGAGUACAAAGAUUAAAACGUCAUAAGAUUACUUCUAAAAACAAAUCAUAAUGUUGCACCAUACAUCAAAAUACUGUGAUCACACAUAAUUAAAAGAUAUUUAUCAAGAAAUGAUAAAGAGUGAUAAGAUUAAUCCUUAAAGGACUAUGGGGAAAUCUGUUACCGUUUUCUUUUUCGGACCUACAGGCUAAUUGAUUAACCUCAACAAUUAAUGAAAAAAAAAGGCUACAGCCCAGUUCAGCCAGUUCAUCGGCUCGUUUUAGUCCUCAUAUUUAUAUACAUUAUUCAUAUUAACUCAACUUUAGACAUUUAAGAUAUUAACUAAAGAUACCUUUAAUACAAAAUAAAAACAAAUUUCAACUUAAUUAUGAUAAUAUAUGUAUGUGUCUUAAUUAAAUCUAAAAUUUCUUGUUUUAUGUUCAGUCGAUCAAUAUUGUGCAUUAAACCAGUUUUAGAUAAAUUUUGUAAAUAAUAUCGACCUGAAUUGAACUUUAUAUUUAUAACAGGUAAGUUAUCUUCUUACACAAUAAAUUAGAAUGGUUGUAAACUAACAAAGGCAUAAAGAUAUUAUUUUUUGUAAAUCAAAGUAAACUGUAAAUAUAACCAUUUUUGUACAGAUUGUUGUUUAUUUAUUGUUGUAAAAUAUUAAAACGCAUUCAAGAGUCAAUGGGAACCAAAUAUUGAUCAAUCUUACUGAAUGUGUUCAUUCUGUGCCAGUAGUGUAGCAAGGUGAAGUCCAGGGGGUCCGGACCUCCCCGAAAUAUUAAGGCAUUAAGUACAGAGCAGGGGAAAGGAAGGAGAGUUAUUAUUCCUCUUGUCUACAAAUAUUAAAUAAUCAUACCACUGUUAAAAAUAGGUGUGUUCUUUUUUUAAUCAGUUUAACAAACGAUAAAUUAUUAAACGAUACAUUAAGCUUCUGCCGGCCAGGUAGUGUAAUGGCAGUGUCUAAAUACCUAGCCGAAUUUCGAGUGUGGACUAUCUACUACCUAGUUUGCAAGGCAGCCAUGCCUAAGACCCGUUGCCCAGCACUAGUGGAAGAUCCAUUGUUCCCCCCGUAACUGUUAAGCACGCCGGUUCGCUGUCCACCAUUACAAUUACAGCUGAAGAUUUGCUUGUGUGUAGUUGAGGUAGUGACUUCUGCAUACCGUCAGGUAAUUUAUACUUUGUAGUGACAGUAACAGGAUGAACGUUGUUUUUUUUUUUAAGGAAUCGAGUUUUGUUGUACUGAUAGAAGAAACCGCCGUUGGCACGAUUUCUAUAAGAAGAAUGCAGUACGUUUACACCAACUCUGUAUUGUUCAUCGGCUCGUGACCAAUCCAGUACUAGCAGGCCUACAGAUUCUUAAACAGCCUCUGCUUUUUGACGCUCCUUUUGCCUUUGUGCAAAAUAUUUCUUGAACGCUCUUUGGAUGACUCGAGCAUAGACGUUGAACCUGCGCUCUCUCUGCUCCUCCAGCAGAAACAACUG
This 2810-nucleotide unclassified non-coding RNA is filed under the name Homalodisca vitripennis (glassy-winged sharpshooter). RNAcentral's name for it is "uncharacterized LOC124355495, transcript variant X3". The record is from RNAcentral. Lineage: Eukaryota; Metazoa; Arthropoda; Insecta; Hemiptera; Cicadellidae.